ACGUAGGUGGCAAGCGUUGUCCGGAAUUACUGGGUGUAAAGGGAGCGUAGGCGGGGAUACAAGUUGAAUGUUAAAACUAUGGGCUCAACCCAUAGUUGCGUUCAAAACUGUAUUUCUUGAGUGAAGUAGAGGUAAGCGGAAUUCCUAGUGUAGCGGUGAAAUGCGUAAAUAUUAGGAGGAACACCAGUGGCGAAGGCGGCUUACUGGGCUUUAACUGACGCUGAGGCUCGAAAGCGUGGGUAGCAAACAG
This 250-nucleotide ribosomal RNA is filed under the name uncultured bacterium. RNAcentral's name for it is "partial 16S ribosomal RNA". It matches the Rfam family "Bacterial small subunit ribosomal RNA", at positions 525 to 775 of the family's 1533-position model. The record is from RNAcentral.